CUUCUUCAGGCAGACUGGAAACAUCAAAAUUUUCCACUUCAUCGUCUUCUAACCAAUUCAACAUGUUGUAACAAAUCUUACCCAUAUAUUCACAAACGAAGACUACAAAAAAAGGAGUAACAAGAUCAUUU
Non-coding RNA from Tinamus guttatus (white-throated tinamou), 131 nucleotides. Lineage: Eukaryota; Metazoa; Chordata; Aves; Tinamiformes; Tinamidae. The record is from RefSeq and is a predicted model, not a curated record.